UAAAAUCUAGCAGCUGGAAAAAAUAAAUGAGAGGCUCAGAACUUGCACACAAUAUUAUAUAUUCCAUUUACCAAUUCUAUUUUAUUUUCAGUUUUAUGUCUAUACUAUAAUUUCGGAAUAAACGUGUAUAAAAUGUAAAUACAAAUUAAUAAAGUUUUUUCCUCGUUUGUUUUCAAACUGUACACAAACACGUUGGCGCCACCUGCUGGAUGGAGGCUGAACCGGCAGAACGGAACAUUGUGGAGAAGCGGGGAGGACCGGGGCGCUGCCUGGCUGUGACACCGCGGUGGUGCUGCUAAUCAAGCUAACGUCAGUUAACGCCAGCUGCACACUCCCGUAACAAAAAAGAUGGCAUCUGUUUCUAUCCCCACAUCCACCAGUGCCCUUUUGCUGGACAUCGAAGGAACCACCACACCAAUAACGUUUGUUAAGGAUAUCUUGUUUCCGUACAUCAGGGAGCAUCUUGAGGAUUCAUUCACUGGGAGGAAGAUGAGUGCAAACAAGAUGUUCAUCUCCUGAAGAAACAGAUUGAGGAGGACAUGAGGCAGAACCGUGUCUCUGAGGAAAAAGAGAAAAACUGCUAUUCUCACCGACACACCUGUGAAGGAGGCACUUGAAGCGGAAAAGCAGGAUGAUUCGGUGGAGAGGAGGAGUAAAGGCCGCUAUUUGUUCGUUAGUGGCGUACCUCAAAGAAAAGGAGGAAGCUCUCUUCAAAGAGCACUCGGAUGAAUGGGACAUUGCCAGUGAAGUGAUGAAGAUCAUCAUCAUCAGAGGGACUACAGCAUUUGACCCAGCCUGAGCAAGAAUCGUGAUAGAGGGAACUAAAGUCUUACAAGAACUUAAUCUUCCCAGAGCCUGCGCCUUGCUAAUAGGACUUAUGCCUUAAACCUCAGCUACCCAAAGGUGCUGAAACAUACCUUUGAAGUGUUUUAGAGGGUAUUGCUUGGGCUGGAUGGUCUGAAACCUAGUUUUUUUUUUUCUUGUCUUUUUUUGUGCACAUGGGGUAAACCUGACAAUUUGAAUUCAUUUCACUGUGGCUUUAGAAUAAAGUGAGCAAAAGAAUAGACUUGCUUGUUUUUUGUUAUUUAUUUAAGUUAAACAAGUUCAUAGUACUAGAGAAAAUUGAGGUAACAAUUUGCAUGGACCUUUCUGACUAGAACUGAAUCAAACAACACAGUGACAGUAACUUAAAUAAGUCAUUUGACAACUUAAAAUCACCUAAAUUUUAGAAGGAAAUUUAAUUUGAAUCAGCACAAUUAGGCUUUUUGACACCAAUCCAAAUCAUGUUGACCAUACUAAUUAAAUUGAGUUAUGGAAGUCUCUGGAUAUAUACUUAAUAGUUAUUAAGCUGCAGGUACUUAAUAAGAUGCAUGCAAAUUAUUACCUCAGAUUUUUUAAGUUAAGCCAGUGUAUUUUUUUUUAGAGUGCAGCUGACUCCAGAUAAAGCCAUAAAUAGCAUUGCUGCCUCCUAUAUAAUCCCAUUCCAUCAAUCCCAUCAGAGCUCUGUGCUCAAGAAUUGCUGAAUUCCUGUCCAGAAUGGGAAGAGGAACAUUUAGUUUUCAGGCUCCUCUCUUGUGGAACCAGCUAACAACCUGAACUAUGACGCUUAGAACGGUCCUCUCUGGAGUUUUUAUUAUUUUGUGAACUAUUUCUGCCCUGUUUUAGUAAUCUAAUCUGGUUUUAACUAUAUUUUUGUCUUUUUAUUACAGAUUUUAAAUAUUCUGCAAUGAUCCCCGCUUGGUUUUGUGAUCAGUUUUAUAUAUUUUUUUUAUUCUGUAUUUGCUGUAUUUAAUUGAUCUAGUUUUUGUUUGCUCUGUUAAGCAUUUUGAUUUGCAAUGUGUUUGAAAAAGUGCUAUAUAAAUGAAAAAUAAUUGAUUGAACUGCCCACUUUACCAUUUGGAAGAGCAACAUUUUUAAUGAUUAUACUGAAACUUAUUAAAAAUUUGUGGAAAAGAACCAUCUCUGGGACUUGGUUUGGGUAUGUAAUGCCACAAAGUUUU
Long non-coding RNA from Melanotaenia boesemani (Boeseman's rainbowfish), 2000 nucleotides. RefSeq lists it as uncharacterized. NCBI's taxonomy places the organism in Eukaryota, Metazoa, Chordata, Actinopteri, Atheriniformes, Melanotaeniidae. The transcript has 6 exons. The record is from RefSeq and is a predicted model, not a curated record.